This is a non-coding RNA of Zootermopsis nevadensis, 861 nucleotides long. NCBI's taxonomy places the organism in Eukaryota, Metazoa, Arthropoda, Insecta, Blattodea, Termopsidae. The record is from RefSeq and is a predicted model, not a curated record.
GUCCCCCAUCUGUAAGUUAUUCUGAGUUUGUAUCUGAAGGCUGGAGAAGAGAAGGUGGAAAGGUACCAAGAACUGAAGAUGUACUGAAGGCUAGGGAACUGGAACUUCAGCCAUUGCUGGAGAGGAAUAGUUCCAGUUCAGAGAAUACACAACGUUGGAUCUCCAUAGACAAUGAAGACUAUGAGCUAAAACCAAUACAUGCGACAUUACUUCCAAGGAAAGUUCACGUGUUUUACAAACCAGCAGUGAGUUUGAGCUGAACGUCGUUCAAGGAAAGAGAUCACCAAUACAUUUCCACAAAAACACCUUCACACACAGUCACAGUGUGGAGUGUCGUUUCUUGGGCUGGUGUUACUACCCCACAUUUGUUUCCACUGCCAAUGUCACAACUGAAAGAGAUUUCAUUUUUAAGACUUACGUCUUGAAAAGAAAUGAGUGAUACUUAAAUACUUUUAUGUAUUAGUUAUUCAUCCUGCAUUAAUUAUAAUAACGUCACGUAUUUCUCAUCCAUUCUGCAUUUUGUUAAGUAUUUUAUGAAGCCUUAAGAGGUCUGUGUACCAAUUUUUUGAGAAAUAAAAUGAAGGUGGCUGCCUUUUGGGAUGGUGCACCAUGCCCCUGGUAGAAAUUGAAAUUUCAGAGGAGCUAACUGCCUUCAGCAUCAGUGCAGUGAUGUAGACAGUAACCUCCUUCGAAACGUCAAGUCAGUGUCUGCCAAAAUUACACAAUGCAACAUUUCGUACUCGUUGCCACAGGAGUCUGAAAUCUCAUCAAAUAGAAAUUAAGUUUGGUAAUCCACAUUACCCCGUGCUAUGCACGUUUUUACGAACUUUGCACAAGGAACAAAUAAAAUGUAUUAGGGUA